Molecule: long non-coding RNA, 898 nt
Organism: Poecilia latipinna (sailfin molly)
Lineage: Eukaryota; Metazoa; Chordata; Actinopteri; Cyprinodontiformes; Poeciliidae
Exons: 3
Source: RefSeq, a predicted model, not a curated record
UGAUAUUGUAAAGCUUGCAAAGAUUAACAGGUAAAUGUAUAUGCUGGUUUCUAGGUUACGUUCAGAGCGGUGGAUAGUAAACAUUUAGAAAAUAACACAAAAUAGAAAGAGCUACCAGUAAACUGUUAACAGAAAUAUGUAUUGAAUUGUUUAAAAAAAUUAAAGCAUCAAUUCCUCCUGUCAAUCAUAGGGAAGAGUGCUGACUUGAUGGAUGUCCAGAAGCCAGUCAUCCACACCCUUCACUAUGAGGCAGAGGGAGCGGAGAUGGAAACACCCUGAGGAUAAAAUCUGCCACUUGCUAUAUAUUGACCCAACACCCCUGCACUGUUUCCAAAUGAAUUGGACUUACGACGGAGAGGUGACUGGUCUGCAGAACGGCUUCAGGUGUGAGGGUCAAAGGUUGUGAGGAGUUAUUCAGAAGAAGAAAAAAAAAUGUUUACAAGUAGCAGAGAGAUUAGAAAUCCCAGUCAAUUCAGGUGUACAAGAGUAGAAACAGCAAUCCUCCCACAGACUCUUAAUUCCACACUGUUGAUAUGAAGAAGAAUUGAAUAAAUAAAUGAAUAAAACAUGUUUAAUAUUUUAUUUAAGUGGAUUACAUACUUUUGCCUAAAUGUUGUUGAUUUUUAUAGCUGGACCUUUUUUUUUCCUAAAUGUCCACAGUCUUUCACCUUUUCAAGACCUAUAACACAGAUCAUAGAUCUGAAAGGGAAACCUAGAAGUCACUUUCUACAGCAACAAUCUGCAGCUCAUUCUGCGAGGGGUCCAAGGAUGUUCCCAGGCUGAAACAGAUAUGUAGUACCUCCAAUGAGUUCUGGCUUUGCCAUGGGGUCUCCUCUGUGUGACGUUCCCAGAAACACUCUAAAGUUUGUGAAAGUAAACUGCUCAGGCACUUUGAGAA